Molecule: ribosomal RNA, 496 nt
Filed under: uncultured bacterium
Lineage: Bacteria
Description: bacterial SSU rRNA
Rfam family: Bacterial small subunit ribosomal RNA
Source: RNAcentral
CAACAGCUAGAGUUUGAUCCUGGCUCAGGACGAACGCUGGCGGCGCGCCUAACACAUGCAAGUCGAACGGAGCAUUGAGAGCUUGCUUUGAAUGCUUAGUGGCGAACGGGUGAGUAACGCGUGAGUAACCUGCCCUUGAGUGGGGGACAACAGUUGGAAACGACUGCUAAUACCGCAUAAGACCACAGAGCCGCAUGGCUCAGGGGUAAAAGGAUUUAUUCGCUCAAGGAUGGACUCGCGUCCAAUUAGCUAGUUGGUGAGGUAACGGCCCACCAAGGCGACGAUUGGUAGCCGGACUGAGAGGUUGAUCGGCCACAUUGGGACUGAGACACGGCCCAGACUCCUACGGGAGGCAGCAGUGGGGGAUAUUGCACAAUGGGGGAAACCCUGAUGCAGCGACGCCGCGUGAAGGAAGAAGGCCUUCGGGUUGUAAACUUCUGUCGUACGGGACGAUAAUGACGGUACCGUACAAGAAAGCCACGGCUAACUACGUGCC